CCUACUGGUGGCAGCAGUGAGGAAUAUUGGUCAAUGGGCGCGAGCCUGAACCAGCCAAGUAGCGUGAAGGAUGACUGCCCUACGGGUUGUAAACUUCUUUUAUAAAGGAAUAAAGUGAGGCACGUGUGCCUUUUUGUAUGUACUUUAUGAAUAAGGAUCGGCUAACUCCGUGCCAGCAGCCGCGGUAAUACGGAGGAUCCGAGCGUUAUCCGGAUUUAUUGGGUUUAAAGGGAGCGUAGAUGGGUUGUUAAGUCAGUUGUGAAAGUUUGCGGCUCAACAGUAAAAUUGCAAUUGAUACUGGCAGUCUUGAGUAAAGGUGAAGUAGGCGGAAUGCGUGGUGUAGCGGUGAAAUGCAUAGAUAUCACGAAGAACUCCGAUUGCGAAGGCAGCUUACCAAACUUCCACUGACACUGAUGCACGAAAGUGUGGGUAUCAAACAGGAUUAGAUACCCGUGUAGUC
RNAcentral lists this ribosomal RNA (460 nucleotides) under uncultured bacterium. RNAcentral's name for it is "partial 16S ribosomal RNA". It matches the Rfam family "Bacterial small subunit ribosomal RNA", at positions 338 to 795 of the family's 1533-position model. The record is from RNAcentral.